This 17-nucleotide microRNA is filed under the name Pongo abelii (Sumatran orangutan). The record is from RNAcentral. Lineage: Eukaryota; Metazoa; Chordata; Mammalia; Primates; Hominidae.
UGAGCGGCGAGCCGAGC